RNAcentral lists this ribosomal RNA (460 nucleotides) under uncultured bacterium. RNAcentral describes it as "SSU rRNA". It matches the Rfam family "Bacterial small subunit ribosomal RNA", at positions 26 to 518 of the family's 1533-position model. The record is from RNAcentral.
AGAAUCAACGCUGGCGGCGUGCCUAACACAUGCAAGUCGAACGAGAAAGUGGAGCAAUCCAUGAGUAAAGUGGCGCACGGGUGAGUAACACGUGACUAACCUACCCUUGAGUGGGGGAUAACCUAGGGAAACCUGGGCUAAUACCGCAUAAUACCGAGAGGUCAAAGGAGCAAUUCGCUUAAGGAGGGGGUCGCGGCCGAUUAGUUAGUUGGCGGGGUAAUGGCCCACCAAGACUAUGAUCGGUAUCCGGCCUGAGAGGGCGCACGGACACACUGGAACUGAAACACGGUCCAGACUCCUACGGGAGGCAGCAGUGGGAAUUUUGCGCAAUGGGGGAAACCCUGACGCAGCAACGCCGCGUGGAGGAUGAAGUCCUUGGGACGUAAACUCCUUUCGAUCGGGACGAUUAUGACGGUACCGAGAGAAGAACGCCCCGGCUAACGUUCGUGCCAGCAGCCGC